Rosa rugosa (rugosa rose) is the source of this 2234-nucleotide long non-coding RNA. RefSeq lists it as uncharacterized. The record is from RefSeq and is a predicted model, not a curated record. Lineage: Eukaryota; Viridiplantae; Streptophyta; Magnoliopsida; Rosales; Rosaceae. The transcript is spliced from 2 exons.
AGGAGCAUUUUAAUGUGGUAUUUUAAUAGUUAAUUCCUCACAUUUUGCUUAGUUAAUUCCUUAACGAAUCGAUUUUUAACUCAAUUUCUAUUUUCUUAGGUACAUUGGAGUAAAUGAUGGUGAAAUAAGCAUUAGGUCCACACUUACCUAUAAAUGGUAGAGAAAAAUGGAAAUGUACUAAAAUGUCAAUUUUACACAUUUUCCUACUCCGGCUAGGAGAAACCAAGCCAAGCAAGGAAGAAGGAGCGGCCGCCGGACCAAAUGAACUUCAAAUGAGCUGAAACUUUCCAGAUCCAUUCUAGACAGCCCAAGGAUCAUUUCUUAUGAAGAGUGCAAGAACUUUUGUUGAGUGGAAGGCCUUCAAACAAUCAACCCAAUUUUCUACAGAAGCAAAACUGGAAAACUGGACCUGUAAGAGGUCCAGCAGCAUUUUCGGCCCAACCACAUGGAAUAAAAAUCUGAAAUUUUACCAGGGUGAUCUACACUCAUAAUGGAACAUUUUUUAUGAAGAGGUCAUAGUGAAAUUGGGAAUGCUUGUUGGAGAAAUAAUUGAAGGAAUAAAGGGGCAGAAACUGAUCUAAAAAACAGCUCAACAUCACAUGUUCAUGUUUCCUACCCACAUGAAGAAAGCUAGAUGCUUUUCUCUUUUUCCUUGGAUAUAUUUUUCUGCUCCAAUAGAUCAUCAUCACUUCCAUACUUCUACACCUUCAUGCCUUGCUUUCAUUUCAUCAUUACUCCAUCUUUUCCAUAUUUUACAAACCACUUUCAUUAUUUUUCUUCCAUUUAUCAUUUCACUCUUCUUUUUCUUCCCUAUAUAAACACCUUCUCCUCUCACUCUAAACACAUUCCUUCAUCCAUUUCAUCUUCUUUGUCUCUCCAUUUCCAUUCCAUUUUUCUCUCCAUUCUCUAGUUGCAAAAUUCUGCGUUUUCAAGUAAGAAGAAGAAGAAGAAGAAGGAGCCGGGAAUAUCAUAUCCUCCAUCGUCCACCUUGAAGGCUUGCUUCCAAGAUUCAAGAUUUCAACGUUUCAAGCACUCCAUCUCCAUCUCCAACUCACGGUGUGUACCCUCAAUCCCCGGAAUAGAACGAUCCCUAUUUGCUUAUACUACUAACGAUGUUUUCAGGGUUAAAUUAUGCGCUUGCUUUGAGCGUAUCAAUUUUUGGCGCCGUUGCCGGGGAUUGAAAAAUCACUUGUUUUUGUUUAUAAUUGUUGUAUAUAAACUGUUUGAUACUUAGUUUAAAUUAACUAGGUUGUUUUUUUUUAUUGUUGAAUACGAGUUUAAUUGUGAGUUGUAAAUUAAAGAAGGAAUAGGUGAAGUCGUGCUUAUUAAUAUUGGCCUAAACCCCUUAUUGGUACCUAGUUCAGGUCCCUUAAGGUUGAGGGCGGCCUUUAUUAACAUUCAUUGAACUGUCUAACACACUUAGGACCUUUUACAUCCUAGUAAGAAUAUCCUAUGUGAGAUGGUGUCUAGGAAGGGGACAACGUUCAUGACGGGUUUUUGAAUCCAGAAGUGCUUACAAAUGGGCCUAGCUCAUGCCAAAAUGGAUUUUUCCUCUCGUGUUCACCCUCCCCUACCUGGCCAUUUCAGUAAGGUUGCCCAACGGAUGUAGGAGGGACUUUGUGUCUAGACGACUAUACUUGGGCCGCACGUCCACUUGAUUUACCGCUUGGAAUUAGAUUUGAUAUCAAUAAUGUUUAUAACAAAAGAAAUACUUGUGCAUACUCUUUACGUGUAAAUUAUUUUGUUGUUUCACACUUUAUACUUGUAAAAAUACUUUUUACGUUUUAUACUCACUUGUGUACUUAACUUGUGUCUUAUGUACAAAAUACUUGUUAAUUAUACUUGUAGUUUGUAAUUCAUAGUUACUUGUUUGUUUAUUUUUGUAUUUCUUUGUUAAUAUUAAGUUACUAACUUUAUUUAAUGUAGGUACCGUCUGGCUGCAAGACGUAAAAUACAAGCGCUGCUUGGGAGGCAACCCAAUUCAGAAUAUAAUCAGAUUUGCUUUCUCUUCCCCUUUUACUCCUCCAUUUUCUUUUUGUUUUAGUAGUUAUUUUCGUAAAUUCCAUCCCUAUAUGCUUACUUAUUUCAUUGCAUGCUUUUAAUUGAUUACAUUGAGGAUAAUGCAAUAUUUAAGUGUGGGGGAAGGGAUUUAUAUUUUUGUCUUUCAUUUUGAAUCCUAUAAAUAUUUUUGUCUUUCAUUUUGAGUCCUAUAAAUAUUUUUGAGUCCUAUAUUU